This is a long non-coding RNA of Quercus robur (English oak), 602 nucleotides long. RefSeq lists it as uncharacterized. The transcript is spliced from 2 exons. NCBI's taxonomy places the organism in Eukaryota, Viridiplantae, Streptophyta, Magnoliopsida, Fagales, Fagaceae. The record is from RefSeq and is a predicted model, not a curated record.
UUCUCAUUUAGUACUUUUCUUCUAGAAUAUUCUCUCUAAGAAAUCAUAGAAACACAGUUUUUUUUCAUGGUAUCAAAGCCAUAUUAAUGGCGUCUUCUGCUAGGUCUUCGUCUUCUGCAACAACAGGAUCAAUCUUGAGUUCUUCAAUCACUCAUGGUGUUAAUCCUUCUUUGCUGCUAUUGUCAAAUAUGGCAAGUAUGGCUACUAUGAAGCUUGACUACAACAAUUAUAUAGUGUGGAGACACCAAAUCGAAGUGAUUUUGGUAGCAUAUUCAAUGAUCAAUUUCAUCGAAUAUGAUCCAUUGCUGGCCAAUAUGCUGUCAAAUAAUCCAUGUGAGCGUCCUUCAGCUACACAGAUUUUACGACUGCUUUGUUUAAAUAUGAAUAAUGUGCAUUGAUUGAGGGCCUGAGAGAGAAGAUUCGGGGCUUGGAAGCUAAAGCACAAAUCCUUGCUUUAGUGAUCAAUAAUUCAGAUGAUUCUAUUCCAAAUAGAAUGAGUCUCUCAUGAGGAGCCCAAAGUAGAUAUUUUCUAUGGUGGUUUGGAAUUUUAUAUUUUCCCUUGAUAUAUGUUAUGUUUUAUAUGAUGCUUGCACUUUGCAUAA